Molecule: long non-coding RNA, 448 nt
Filed under: Olea europaea (common olive)
Lineage: Eukaryota; Viridiplantae; Streptophyta; Magnoliopsida; Lamiales; Oleaceae
Description: long non-coding RNA (OEUR_LNC008589)
Source: RNAcentral
AGUUUCGCAAAGAUGAUGACAGGAAUUUGGUAAGUUUUCCUUUUUAGUUUUCUAAUACGCUCGAAUGGAUUUUCCAUUGUUGAGGGACGAUUAAUUAUUUUAUUUUUCAAAUUCCAAGAACUGAAAAGUUCUAAUUUUUCUACUUUACUGGCUUUUCUUAUUUGAUUUGAAGGGGCAUGAUUAACACUAUAUCUUCAAGGGUUGUACCUUUGGCCAUUUACUCUACCUUCUGUGGUCACCAUUUAACCCACUCCAUCAACCGUACUGGCCUUUCUUGGAAGCUUCACAGGUUGUUUCCUUCAUCUCUUCAUGACUACUCCAUCAAGUCGACCUUCCAAGACUUAUUUAUGCGAGGGCAAGAAGAGGAGAAGGUUCACAUUUUAAAUUGGUUUUUACUUUCUGCUUUGUAGCCAUUAUUGAUUUUUAUGUAAGAAUGUAUUUGAAGGAG